UCGCCAUUUUACAUGCAGUCGCACGGUAACGCGGAGAGAAGCUUGCUUCUCUCCGGCGACGAGUGGCGAACGGGUGAGCCUACAUCGGAACGUGUCCGCUCGUGGGGGACAACCAGCCGAAAGGUUGGCUAAUACCGCAUGAGUUCUACGGAAGAAAGAGGGGGACCCGCAAGGGCCUCUCGCGAGCGGAGCGGCCGAUGACUGAUUAGCCGGUUGGUGAGGUAUCGGCUCACCAGAGCAACGAUCAGUAGCUGGUCUGAGAGGACGACCAGCCACACUGGGACUGAGACCCGGCCCACACUCCUACGGGAGGCAGCAGUGGGGAAUUUUGGACAAUGGGCGCUAGCCUGAUCCCGCUAUUCCGCGUGUGCGAUGAAGGCCCUCGGGUUGUAAACCACUUUUGUAGACAACUCAAAGACACCUUCUAAUCACGGAUGCUGCUGACGGUACUCUCAGACUAUUCAUCGGCUAAGUACGUGCCAGCAGCCGCGCUAAUACGUAGGGCGCGAGCGUUAAUCAUAAUUACUGGGUGUAGCGGGCGCGCUUUCGUUUGACUAAGACAGAUGUGAGAUCCCCGGCCUUACCUCGGCGAUGGCCUAUGUGACUGCUCGAUUAUAGCGUGUCACAUUGGAGCGCAAUUCUGCGUGUAAUAGUAGAUAGCUCCCAUAUGUGCCUCACCUUUUCUGACCAAAUCACCCCCCUGCUAGUUAUAUGGCCUCAAGCCCGGAGGACAUGGAAAGCCCAUAUAAU
Molecule: ribosomal RNA, 750 nt
Filed under: uncultured bacterium
Lineage: Bacteria
Description: bacterial SSU rRNA
Rfam family: Bacterial small subunit ribosomal RNA
Source: RNAcentral